UAGGGAAUCUUCCACAAUGGGCGAAAGCCUGAUGGAGCAACGCCGCGUGUGUGAUGAAGGCUUUCGGGUCGUAAAGCACUGUUGUAUGGGAAGAACAGCUAGAAUAAGAAAUGAUUUUAGUUUGACGGUACCAUACCAGAAAGGGACGGCUAAAUACGUGCCAA
Molecule: ribosomal RNA, 164 nt
Filed under: uncultured bacterium
Lineage: Bacteria
Description: partial 16S ribosomal RNA
Rfam family: Bacterial small subunit ribosomal RNA
Source: RNAcentral